GUGCUCACUUCAUCAACACAUAUACUAAAAUUGAAAUUAUACAGAAAAGAUUCAUGUGGUCCUUGUGAAAGGAUGACACACAAAUUUGUGAAACAUUUCAAAUUUUU
Cricetulus griseus (Chinese hamster) is the source of this 107-nucleotide small nuclear RNA. NCBI's taxonomy places the organism in Eukaryota, Metazoa, Chordata, Mammalia, Rodentia, Cricetidae. The record is from Ensembl.